AGUACGAGCGAGUACACAGUGAAACUGCGAAUGGCUCAUUAAAUCAGUUGUGGUUCCUUAGAUCGUUUGCCCACCCGGUUACAUGGAUAACUGUGGUAAUUCUAGAGCUAAUACAUGCAAGUGAGCCCCGAUCCCUUGUGGAGAAGGGCGCAGUUAUUAGACCAAGACCAGCGUGCUCGGGCUCCCCUCGCGGGCUGCCCGGCACCUCACGUUGUGGUGACUUUGGAUAACCUCGGGCUGAUCGCACGGCCUCCGAGCCGGCGACGUAUCUUUCAAAUGUCUGCCCUAUCAAAUGUCGAAGGGAGGUGCCUUGCCUCCCUUGUUUGCAACGGGUAACGGGGAAUCAGGGUUCGAUUCCGGAGAGGGAGCAUGAGAAACGGCUACCACAUCCAAGGAAGGCAGCAGGCGCGCAAAUUACCCACUCCUGACWCGGGGAGGUAGUGACGAUAACUAACGGUGCGGGACUCUUUUGAGGCUCCGCAACCGGAAUGAGCACAGUCUAAAUCCUUUAGCGAGGAUCUAUUGGAGGGCAAGUCUGGUGCCAGCAGCCGCGGUAAUUCCAGCUCCAAAUAGCGUAUAUUAAAGUUGUUGCAGUUAAAAAGCUCGUAGUUGGAUCUCGGGCUUGCCGGCACGUGGUCUCAUCGGGUCCCGAGGCUCAAUGCCGCUCGUGACGCACUGCCGCCGGCGCCCAACCGGCGGGGAGAGGCCCGAGCAGGGCCGUCUCGGUGGUGGCGUGCAAACGCGCCACUGGUUGUGGCUGCCCUUCACCGGGUGGGCCACGGCACCCGUCGAGUUUACUUUGAAAAAAUUAGAGUGUUCAAGGCAGGCUCUGACAGCCUGAAUAAUGGUGCAUGGAAUAAUGGAACAGGGCCUCGGUCCUAUUCUGUUGGUUCUUCGGGACUGGAGGCAAUGAUUAAGAGGGACAGGCUCGCGGGGGCAGUCGUACUGCGGCGCGAGAGGUGAAAUUCUUGGACCGCCGCAAGACKCACUACUGCGAAAGCAUCUGCCCAGGAUGUUUUCAUUAAUCAAGAACGAAAGUCAGAGGUUCGAAGACGAUCAGAUACCGUCCUAGUUCUGACCCUAAACGAUGCCGACUGGCGAUCCGCCGGAGUCGUACCUAUGACCCGGCGGGCAGCCUCCGGGAAACCUAGCAAGUCUACGGGUUCCGGGGGAAGUAUGGUUGCAAAGCUGAAACUUAAAGGAAUUGACGGAAGGGCACCACCAGGAGUGGAGCCUGCGGCUUAAUUUGACUCAACACGGGGAAACUCACCCGGCCCGGACACCGUGAGGAUUGACAGAUUGAGAGCUCUUUCUUGAUUCGGUGGGUGGUGGUGCAUGGCCGUUUUUAGUUGGUGGAGCGAUCUGUCUGGUUAAUUCCGAUAACGAACGAGACUCUGGCGUCCUAAUAGUCCUCCCCCCCGCCAAUGGGAGGGGAGACCGAGUACUUCUUAGACGGACAAGCGGCGUGGCCAGCCGCACGAGAAUGAGCAAUAACAGGUCUGUGAUGCCCUUAGAUGUUCGGGGCCGCACGCGCGCUACACUGAAAGAGGCAAAGGGUCGAGUCCUGGGCUGGCGAGCCUGGGCAACCCGCCGCCAAACUCUAUCGUGCUAGGGACUGGGGCUUGCAAUUUUUCCCCACCAACGAGGAAUUCCCAGUAAGCGCGAGUCAUCAGCUCGUGUUGAUUACGUCCCUGCCCUUUGUACACACCGCCCGUCGCUACUACCGAUGGAAUGGUUUGGUGAGGCCGCUGGACGGGCCCCGGGCUGGCCUUCGGGCCGGCCGUCUUGGUGCUGCCCGGAAGGCGGUCGAACUUGAUCAUUUAGAGGAAGUAAAAGUCGUAACAAGGUUUCCGUAGGUGA
Molecule: ribosomal RNA, 1860 nt
Filed under: Syllis patriciae
Lineage: Eukaryota; Metazoa; Annelida; Polychaeta; Phyllodocida; Syllidae
Description: SSU rRNA
Rfam family: Eukaryotic small subunit ribosomal RNA
Source: RNAcentral